Molecule: RNA transcript, 1677 nt
Organism: Exaiptasia diaphana
Lineage: Eukaryota; Metazoa; Cnidaria; Anthozoa; Actiniaria; Aiptasiidae
Gene name: homeobox protein Hox-B4
Exons: 4
Source: RefSeq, a predicted model, not a curated record
GGCUUUCAUAUUGUGUACCAGUAACAAAACCUGAAAGAUUCAAUCAAAACCUUUUGUAAAUCAAGCUGUUUUCAUUCCCUAUGCCGUCCAGGUAAAAAUAUUCGUCCAGACUAUGAUCAAAUUUCCUGUCAGAAAUAAUCUGGAAAACGUUCCAGCCCUAAUUAAUGAGGAGUACUUAGACCAUUGUGAUUUACUGGCGAUAUGCCCUUUUCAGGUUACCGUAAGAUAGCCAUAAUCUUUACAUAAGGCGUURGAUUCUUGAUGAUAAUGAGCUCUGAGUGGGUAAGAUUGAUCGAUAAGACACACUUAUUCCUCAUCUACGAUCGAGCAAUAAUUCWGUGAGAAAAUCGAAGUCGUUUUCUAUCGUUUGGUUGCCAAUAAAACAGACAAGAAACUAAUAGUGACCAAUUGUGAGUUAGAUAUGAGACUCAAUGUUUUUGGCGCUCUUUAUCAGCCAGCACUUAUAGUCUUCUUUUUUUCACAGACACAACGGAAGACCCACUUUGAUAAAGUCAUGUUUUGCGGUAUUUGAUAAAAUACCUCAAGGAUAAAAAGAACAGUACCGAAAAACGCUACGAAAUCGCAUCAUAGUGAACGAGACCUAAUAAGCCAGACACUGUUGUUGCAGACGAAAAUCAGGCGUUUGAUAACCAUUAUGUACUCAUUACUUAAACCAUCUUUGCAAGGGAGGGACCCAAUGAAACAAGGCAUCGUUGUACACUAGCCAAUAGCAAAGCUGAUUUCUCAUGACGUCAUGGUCACGUGGUAUGGUGGCUUAUAAGUUGUGUAUAACCUAUAUCCUCAUUUAAUAGCAGCACUCUUUAUUAGAUCCACCCACAACUACUGACCCACAACUACUGUGGGACCUCAGGGUAGAGAUAAGGGUGUUGUACAUGAUCAGUGCUGAGAUUCACAUGAAUAUGGUUCAUCCAAAUGCAAGACAUAAGCUUCAAAGUGGGUUAAUAUGGUCUUAAAUAAGUACGUUUAGUGUUGGAUUCAUGGAAGACUAUCACUAAUCAACCCAUUUAACCUCAGAUCUUCCUACUGAAAUGGUGAUAAAUGUCACAGAAAUGAGUGUCAAUGAGAGUUCAAUUUAUCCUGCUUCGCUAUGGUCAAAACUAGUACACUAAAGACGUCUAACUAUACUAGAAAAACCUAAUAUGCUCAAYAACCUGCAAUCUUCAAAGAAAACAAUUAUUUGGUGUCGCUCUCUGGGAUCACACCACGGAAAACAUUGUGCCUUUUGGGGGUAAAUGGUCAAGUUCAACAGAAAAUGCUUUUUUGUCGAGAAAUAUCGCAGUUUACAUUUGAAUACAGAAAGUUCUUGUGUCGAAAAUGGAAGUUCUACAAGUUAAAAUUUUAUCUUUGCUCAACUUCAAGAAUGAUUUGUGCAUAUAUAUAAGGAGUGUCUUGUUAAGAAGUGCCUGUGCCUGGAGGAGAGCUAUUUUAAAGUAAUGAUGGUGAUCAAUAAUGGGAGAAUAGUACGUUCUUUGGACCAUUAACAUUGAUAUUCAUAUUAGGACAUGUACAGAUACACAAUUUUUAAGUUCAAAGCUCAAAACGACAUCGCACUAGUUACACCAACAAACAACUUCUAGAGUUGGAAAAAGAGUUCCAUUUUAGUCGCUACCUUUGUACAACACGACGUAGAGAAAUCUCCAAGACGCUCGAUCUCUC